CUGACAGGAAUAAAGAUGAUGAGCUCAUUGUUAAAUAUCAGGUAAUAUAGAUAGGAGUAAAGGAGAUGAGUGUAUUGUUAGAGAUCAGGUAAUACUGACAGGAAUAAAGAGGAUGAGCUCAUUGUUAAAUAUCAGGUAAUAUAGAUAGGAGUAAAGGAGAUGAGUGUAUUGUUAGAGAUCAGGUAAUAUAGAUAGGAGUAAAGGAGAUGAGUGUAUUGUUAGAGAUCAGGUAAUACUGACAGGAAUAAAGAGGAUGAGCUCAUUGUUAAAUAUCAGGUAAUAUAGAUAGGAGUAAAGGAGAUGAGUGCAUUGUUAGAGAUCAGGUAAUAUAGAUAGGAGUAAAGGAGAUGAGUGUAUUGUUAGAGAUCAGGUAAUAUAGAUAGGAGUAAAGGAGAUGAGUGCAUUGUUAGAGAUCAGGUAAUAUAGAUAGGAGUAAAGGAGAUGAGUGUAUUGUUAGAGAUCAGGUAAUAUAGAUAGGAGUAAAGGAGAUGAGUGCAUUGUUAGAGAUCAGGUAAUACUGACAGGAAUAAAGAGGAUGAGCUCAUUGUUAAAUAUCAGGUAAUAUAGAUAGGAGUAAAGGAGAUGAGUGUAUUGUUAGAGAUCAGGUAAUAUAGAUAGGAGUAAAGGAGAUGAGUGUAUUGUUAGAGAUCAGGUAAUACUGACAGGAAUAAAGAGGAUGAGCUCAUUGUUAAAUAUCAGGUGAUAUAGAUA
Limulus polyphemus (Atlantic horseshoe crab) is the source of this 711-nucleotide long non-coding RNA. RefSeq lists it as uncharacterized. NCBI's taxonomy places the organism in Eukaryota, Metazoa, Arthropoda, Merostomata, Xiphosura, Limulidae. The record is from RefSeq and is a predicted model, not a curated record. The transcript has 2 exons.